This 1238-nucleotide long non-coding RNA is filed under the name Ananas comosus (pineapple). RNAcentral's name for it is "long non-coding RNA (ACOM_LNC027799)". The record is from RNAcentral. Lineage: Eukaryota; Viridiplantae; Streptophyta; Magnoliopsida; Poales; Bromeliaceae.
UAGAGAUUGAAAAUGUUAUUCUAAAAAAUUUUUACCAAUAGGAUGAAUAUAUAAUGAAGAGGAAAUAUUAAAAAUAUUUUUUUGUGAAAAAUAAACCAAUUAUUAAUAUUGUAGAAACAAAAAAAUUACAUAAUUACAUAUAUAGUCCGGCUGGGAUACUAUCCAUAGCACCAAUAAACCAAUUUUUCCACCGUUAGAUUUAACCUUUUGAUUAUUUUUAUCCGUUAGAUUGUACUAUUCAACCAACCAUCCACUCAACCCUAAGGGGCCGACAUCAUUCUAAUCAUGCAUUUCUUAAUCCAAGGAUUAAAAAAUUAAUAGUACCACUACCUUGGUGCUAUUAAUAGUAUUCCAGCCUAGUUCUUACAUAUAUACAUAUACAUUUAUACAUAUAUGUAUACGUAUAUCUAUUUUAUGGUAACAUUUACAGAAUGCACCUUGGACAGCAACCUUUUUGCUCUCUGCUCCACAGCAUAGCACAGAUUGCACAAAAGUCCCUCCAACCUGAAAAUUUCGCAGUUCCAUGCAUAAAAUGUCGGAAUAUUUGUGAAAUGUCCCCGGGGUUCAUUCUCUCUCUCAAACUUCAACUGCAAGCCAAAAUCCACAGAAAUCUCAAAAUUUCAUGAAACUUAAGUCCACUCGAUCUUCUCUAAGUCUAGUUUCACAUGAUAUCCGCUUAUGAAAAUUCCAUAAUUUCUCACAUAAAAUGAUAAUUCCUUCGCGCAUUGUCCUAUUAUCACAAAUUGCAAAAAUUACAAUUUAGUCCCUCUUACUCACAAAUUCAUACCCAAAACUCACCCAUAAGUGCAUAUUGCUCAUAAGUAUCUUCACCUCAAAUAUCACGCAUUUUGAUAUAUGAAAUAUCAUGCUUUUUACAUAAAUACUCCAAUUAGGCAAAUUUGCACUGAUGCAAUAUCAUCUCCAAAUUAUCACCAUAUCACACCAAACUACACGGGGGCCCGCUAUAGGACUUACAACACUGAUGGACCAAGAACGUGGAACUUUUCGUUUCAUCGAAAAUCACUUCUAAGUACGUGGCACUUUUCGUUUCAUCGAAAAUCACUUCUAAAUACGUGAUAAAUCACCCUCUUUAGAGAAAUUCAUCGUAAAAUAUUCUCGAUUACUACAGAUCAUUCGCCAAUGGCUAUUCUACUUCCUAAUAAAUAAAAACAUAUACGGUGGUUUGUAUCGUAUGCAUAAACCAUAAUCAUAGAGAAAUGCUAAGCCUACAACUCAUU